Molecule: transfer RNA, 84 nt
Filed under: bacterium
Lineage: Bacteria
Also listed under: 1 other name
Description: tRNA-Leu
Rfam family: tRNA
About the family: Transfer RNA (tRNA) molecules are approximately 80 nucleotides in length. Their secondary structure includes four short double-helical elements and three loops (D, anti-codon, and T loops). Further hydrogen bonds mediate the characteristic L-shaped molecular structure. tRNAs have two regions of fundamental functional importance: the anti-codon, which is responsible for specific mRNA codon recognition, and the 3' end, to which the tRNAs corresponding amino acid is attached (by aminoacyl-tRNA synthetases). tRNAs cope with the degeneracy of the genetic code in two manners: having more than one tRNA (with a specific anti-codon) for a particular amino acid; and 'wobble' base-pairing, i.e. permitting non-standard base-pairing at the 3rd anti-codon position.
Source: RNAcentral
GCCAGAGUGGCGGAAUUGGUAUACGCUGCGGUCUCAAAAACCGUUGUCCUUCGGGACGUGUGGGUUCAAGUCCCACCUCUGGCA